AGUGAACGCUGGCGGUAGCCCUAACACAUGCAAGUCGAACGGCAGCACAGUAAGAGCUUGCUCUUACGGGUGGCGAGUGGCGGACGGGUGAGGAAUACAUCGGAAUCUACUUUUUCGUGGGGGAUAACGUAGGGAAACUUACGCUAAUACCGCAUACGACCUACGGGUGAAAGCAGGGGAUCUUCGGACCUUGCGCGAUUGAAUGAGCCGAUGUCGGAAUAGCUAGUUGGCGGGGUAAAGGCCCACCAAGGCGACGAUCCGUAGCUGGUCUGAGAGGAUGAUCAGCCACACUGGAACUGAGACACGGUCCAGACUCCUACGGGAGGCAGCAGUGGGGAAUAUUGGACAAUGGGCGCAAGCCUGAUCCAGCCAUGCCGCGUGGGUGAAGAAGGCCUUCGGGUUGUAAAGCCCUUUUGUUGGGAAAGAAAAGCAGCAGGUUAAUACCCCGCUGUUCUGACGGUACCCAAAGAAUAAGCACCGGCGAACUUCGU
RNAcentral lists this ribosomal RNA (491 nucleotides) under uncultured bacterium. RNAcentral describes it as "partial 16S ribosomal RNA". It matches the Rfam family "Bacterial small subunit ribosomal RNA", at positions 29 to 506 of the family's 1533-position model. The record is from RNAcentral.